ACGCUGGCGGCGUGCUUAACACAUGCAAGUCGAACGGAAAGGCCCUGCUUUUGUGGGGUGCUCGAGUGGCGAACGGGUGAGUAACACGUGAGUAACCUGCCCUUGACUUUGGGAUAACUUCAGGAAACUGGGGCUAAUACCGGAUAGGAGCUCCUGCUGCAUGGUGGGGGUUGGAAAGUUUCGGCGGUUGGGGAUGGACUCGCGGCUUAUCAGCUUGUUGGUGGGGUAGUGGCUUACCAAGGCUUUGACGGGUAGCCGGCCUGAGAGGGUGACCGGCCACAUUGGGACUGAGAUACGGCCCAGACUCCUACGGGAGGCAGCAGUGGGGAAUAUUGCACAAUGGGCGGAAGCCUGAUGCAGCAACGCCGCGUGCGGGAUGACGGCCUUCGGGUUGUAAACCGCUUUCGCCUGUGACGAAGCGUGAGUGACGGUAAUGGGUAAAGAAGCACCGGCUAACUACGUGCCAGCAGCCGCGGUGAUACGUAGGGUGCGAGCGUUGUCCGGAUUUAUUGGGCGUAAAGGGCUCGUAGGUGGUUGAUCGCGUCGGAAGUGUAAUCUUGGGGCUUAACCCUGAGCGUGCUUUCGAUACGGGUUGACUUGAGGAAGGUAGGGGAGAAUGGAAUUCCUGGUGGAGCGGUGGAAUGCGCAGAUAUCAGGAGGAACACCAGUGGCGAAGGCGGUUCUCUGGGCCUUUCCUGACGCUGAGGAGCGAAAGCGUGGGGAGCGAACAGGCUUAGAUACCCUGGUAGUCCACGCUGUAAACGGUGGGUACUAGGUGUGGGGUCCAUUCCACGGGUUCCGUGCCGUAGCUAACGCUUUAAGUACCCCGCCUGGGGAGUACGGCCGCAAGGCUAAAACUCAAAGGAAUUGACGGGGCCCCGCACAAGCGGCGGAGCAUGCGGAUUAAUUCGAUGCAACGCGUAGAACCUUACCUGGGUUUGACAUGGAUCGGGAGUGCUCAGAGAUGGGUGUGCUUCUUUUGGGGUCGGUUCACAGGUGGUGCAUGGCUGUCGUCAGCUCGUGUCGUGAGAUGUUGGGUUAAGUCCCGCAACGAGCGCAACCCUUGUUCACUGUUGCCAGCACGUUAUGGUGGGGACUCAGUGGAGACCGCCGGGGUCAACUCGGAGGAAGGUGGGGAUGACGUCAAGUCAUCAUGCCCCUUAUGUCCAGGGCUUCACGCAUGCUACAAUGGCUGGUACAGAGAGUGGCGAGCCUGUGAGGGUGAGCGAAUCUCGGAAAGCCGGUCUCAGUUCGGAUUGGGGUCUGCAACUCGACCUCAUGAAGUCGGAGUCGCUAGUAAUCGCAGAUCAGCAACGCUGCGGUGAAUACGUUCCCGGGGCUUGUACACACCGCCCGUCAAGUCAUGAAAGUUGGUAACACCCGAAGCCGGUGGCCUAACCGUUGUGGGGGAGCCGUCGAAGGUGGGACUGA
This 1431-nucleotide ribosomal RNA is filed under the name uncultured organism. Its description in RNAcentral is "16S ribosomal RNA". It matches the Rfam family "Bacterial small subunit ribosomal RNA". The record is from RNAcentral.